This 1372-nucleotide ribosomal RNA is filed under the name uncultured bacterium. RNAcentral describes it as "bacterial SSU rRNA". It matches the Rfam family "Bacterial small subunit ribosomal RNA", at positions 28 to 1381 of the family's 1533-position model. The record is from RNAcentral.
GAUGAACGCUGGCGGCGUGCCUAAUACAUGCAAGUCGAGCGAACGGACGAGAAGCUUGCUUCUCUGAUGUUAGCGGCGGACGGGUGAGUAACACGUGGAUAACCUACCUAUAAGACUGGGAUAACUUCGGGAAACCGGAGCUAAUACCGGAUAAUAUUUUGAACCGCAUGGUUCAAAAGUGAAAGACGGUCUUGCUGUCACUUAUAGAUGGAUCCGCGCUGCAUUAGCUAGUUGGUAAGGUAACGGCUUACCAAGGCAACGAUGCAUAGCCGACCUGAGAGGGUGAUCGGCCACACUGGAACUGAGACACGGUCCAGACUCCUACGGGAGGCAGCAGUAGGGAAUCUUCCGCAAUGGGCGAAAGCCUGACGGAGCAACGCCGCGUGAGUGAUGAAGGUCUUCGGAUCGUAAAACUCUGUUAUUAGGGAAGAACAUAUGUGUAAGUAACUGUGCACAUCUUGACGGUACCUAAUCAGAAAGCCACGGCUAACUACGUGCCAGCAGCCGCGGUAAUACGUAGGUGGCAAGCGUUAUCCGGAAUUAUUGGGCGUAAAGCGCGCGUAGGCGGUUUUUUAAGUCUGAUGUGAAAGCCCACGGCUCAACCGUGGAGGGUCAUUGGAAACUGGAAAACUUGAGUGCAGAAGAGGAAAGUGGAAUUCCAUGUGUAGCGGUGAAAUGCGCAGAGAUAUGGAGGAACACCAGUGGCGAAGGCGACUUUCUGGUCUGUAACUGACGCUGAUGUGCGAAAGCGUGGGGAUCAAACAGGAUUAGAUACCCUGGUAGUCCACGCCGUAAACGAUGAGUGCUAAGUGUUAGGGGGUUUCCGCCCCUUAGUGCUGCAGCUAACGCAUUAAGCACUCCGCCUGGGGAGUACGACCGCAAGGUUGAAACUCAAAGGAAUUGACGGGGACCCGCACAAGCGGUGGAGCAUGUGGUUUAAUUCGAAGCAACGCGAAGAACCUUACCAAAUCUUGACAUCCUUUGACAACUCUAGAGAUAGAGCUUUCCCCUUCGGGGGACAAAGUGACAGGUGGUGCAUGGUUGUCGUCAGCUCGUGUCGUGAGAUGUUGGGUUAAGUCCCGCAACGAGCGCAACCCUUAAGCUUAGUUGCCAUCAUUAAGUUGGGCACUCUAAGUUGACUGCCGGUGACAAACCGGAGGAAGGUGGGGAUGACGUCAAAUCAUCAUGCCCCUUAUGAUUUGGGCCACACACGUGCUACAAUGGACAAUACAAAGGGCAGCGAAACCGCGAGGUCAAGCAAAUCCCAUAAAGUUGUUCUCAGUUCGGAUUGUAGUCUGCAACCCGACUACAUGAAGCUGGAAUCGCUAGUAAUCGUAGAUCAGCAUGCUACGGUGAAUACGUUCCCGGGUCU